GGCCUCAUCGUCUAGUGGCCUAGGACACGUGGUUCUCAUCCACGAAACAGGGGUUCGAUUCCCCUUGAGGCUA
This 73-nucleotide transfer RNA is filed under the name Minisyncoccota bacterium. RNAcentral's name for it is "tRNA-Glu". It matches the Rfam family "tRNA". Rfam says of the family: Transfer RNA (tRNA) molecules are approximately 80 nucleotides in length. Their secondary structure includes four short double-helical elements and three loops (D, anti-codon, and T loops). RNAcentral also lists the same sequence under 2 other names. The record is from RNAcentral. Lineage: Bacteria; Bacillati; Minisyncoccota.